UGGGUAGUAGCAAAAUAGAAGCAGUAUUUUGUUCUGGUGCUUAACAGUUAGUAGCGUUUUGCUUCUUACCCAUAUUUUGGGAUUUACGGAAUUUUAGGCCACAUGUGUCACCACUGUGGCCAAUAUUAGAUUAGAAUUUAUUUCCAUAUAAAAAAACCACCGUACCAAGUUGUAACAGCCAUAACAUCUAGCUGUUUUAAUUUUUUCCUUUAACUACGAGCAUUCGUUGUCCACUGGACCACUCACACUCCUUCCACAGUUCCACCAAGGAAUCAGGAGCAUUUCUUGCUACUGCGUAUUUAUUCAACUACGCCAGCAGACCGCAAAAGACCUCGGACUCCAACCUAC
Long non-coding RNA from Photinus pyralis (common eastern firefly), 348 nucleotides. RefSeq lists it as uncharacterized. The transcript is spliced from 3 exons. Lineage: Eukaryota; Metazoa; Arthropoda; Insecta; Coleoptera; Lampyridae. The record is from RefSeq and is a predicted model, not a curated record.